RNAcentral lists this ribosomal RNA (1582 nucleotides) under Alouatta macconnelli. RNAcentral's name for it is "16S ribosomal RNA". It matches the Rfam family "Bacterial large subunit ribosomal RNA", at positions 426 to 2925 of the family's 2925-position model. Lineage: Eukaryota; Metazoa; Chordata; Mammalia; Primates; Atelidae. The record is from RNAcentral.
GCCAACUCUAGCCCAAACCCCUAUACAACUGUACUACCUACAAUACUAUAACCAAACCAUUUACCUACUAUAAAAGUAUAGGCGAUAGAAAUUUCACCUCAGGCGCAAUAGAUACAGUACCGCAAGGGAAAGACAAAAACUUAAUAAAGCACAAAAAAGCAAAGACAAACCCUUCUACCUUCUGCAUAAUGAAUUAACUAGAAAUAACUUUAUAUAGAGAACUUCAAUAAUAUUCCCCGAAACCAAGCGAGCUACCCAAAGACAGCUAAAAGAGCACACCCGUCUAUGUGGCAAAAUAGUGGGAAGAUCUAUGGGUAGUGGUGACAAACCUAUCGAGCCUGGUGAUAGCUGGUUGUCCAAGACAGAAUUUCAGUUCAACCUUAAAUUUACUUACAGAUCCACUAAUCUUCUCGUAAAUUUAAUUGUUAGUCUAAAGAGGGACAGCUCUUUAGACUUUAGGAAAUAACCUUUUAUAGAGAGUAAGACAUUCCACUACUACAGUUGGCCUAAAAGCAGCCACCAAUUAAGAGUGCGUUCAAGCUCAAUACCUGACUAUCCUUGAUUCUACUAACAACACCAAACUCCUAUAACACAUUGGACUAAUCUAUUACCCAAUAGAAGCAACAAUGUUAAUAUAAGUAACAUGAAAUUAUUCUCCUCGCAUAAACUUAUCUCAGACCGAAGUAACUACUGCUAGUUAACAGUCCAACUACCACAUUCUAUAUCUUAACAUAACAUUACUUAAACUGUUAACCCAACACAGGUAUGCAUCCAGGAAAGAUUAAAAGAAGUAAGAGGAACUCGGCAAACUCUACCCCCGCCUGUUUACCAAAAACAUCACCUCUAGCAUUACUAGUAUUAGAGGCACUGCCUGCCCGGUGACACAUGUUUAACGGCCGCGGUACCCUGACCGUGCAAAGGUAGCAUAAUCACUUGUUCUCCAAAUAAGGACUUGUAUGAAUGGCCACACGAGGGUUUAACUGUCUUUUACUUCUAAUCAGUGAAAUUGACCUAUCCGUGAAGAGGCGGAUAUAACUUAAUAAGACGAGAAGACCCUAUGGAGCUUAAAUUUAAUAGUACAAACUAACAAAUUUAAAGCCAAGGCAACAACCCACCGUCCAUGUACUACAAAUUUUGGUUGGGGUGACCUCGGAGUAUAACACAGCCUCCGAAAAACAACACCAAGACCUCACCAGUCUAAGUAAAUAUAUAUAUAUAUAUAUAUAUAUAUAUAUAUACAUUCCCAUUGACCCAAUAACUUGAUCAACGGACCAAGUUACCCUAGGGAUAACAGCGCAAUCCUAUUUUAGAGUCCAUAUCGACAAUAGGGUUUACGACCUCGAUGUUGGAUCAAGACAUCCUAAUGGUGUAGCCGCUAUUAAAGGUUCGUUUGUUCAACGAUUAAAGUCUUACGUGAUCUGAGUUCAGACCGGAGAAAUCCAGGUCGGUUUCUAUCUAUUAAAUAUUCCUCCCAGUACGAAAGGACAAGAGAAAUAGGGCCCACUUCACAAAGCGCCCUCACAAAUCGAAUGAUCAUUAUCUCAAUUCCAUAAACUACUGCCCCACCCCUAGACUAGGGAUC